GACGAACGCUGGCGGCGUGCUUAACACAUGCAAGUCGUACGGUAAGGCCCUUUCGGGGGUACACGAGUGGCGAACGGGUGAGUAACACGUGAGUAACCUGCCCACAACUUUGGGAUAACGCUAGGAAACUGGUGCUAAUACUGGAUAUGUGCUCCUGCUGCAUGGUGGGGGUUGGAAAGCUCCGGCGGUUGUGGAUGGACUCGCGGCCUAUCAGCUUGUUGGUGGGGUAGUGGCCUACCAAGGCGGCGACGGGUAGCCGGCCUGAGAGGGUGACCGGCCACAUUGGGACUGAGAUACGGCCCAGACUCCUACGGGAGGCAGCAGUGGGGAAUAUUGCACAAUGGGCGCAAGCCUGAUGCAGCAACGCCGCGUGCGGGAUGACGGCCUUCGGGUUGUAAACCGCUUUCAGCAGGGACGAAGCCUUUUGUGGCGGUACCUGCAGAAGAAGCACCGGCUAACUACGUG
RNAcentral lists this ribosomal RNA (465 nucleotides) under uncultured bacterium. RNAcentral's name for it is "partial 16S ribosomal RNA". It matches the Rfam family "Bacterial small subunit ribosomal RNA", at positions 28 to 507 of the family's 1533-position model. The record is from RNAcentral.